GAAGAGAAAAUCUCGGAAGUCCAGAAACUUGAAAAAUGCUACCAUCAGUGUUAGUCAUGACAGACAUACUUUAUCCAUGAAAGAGAAUGCUGAAACCAAUGGGCAUAAUCAAAUUCAGGUCAAUGGAAGUUAUUCAUUUAUACCUGAUGGUGAUAGUGAUGGGCGUUGGGUUGGAAGACUUUUUGUUACAAAUAUUGAAAUCGGUCACGGGAGCAAUGGUACAGUCGUCUUUGAAGGAUUUUAUGGUGGUCGUCCAGUUGCUGUAAAACGGCUUCUUCGUGCACAUUAUGAUGUUGCCUUUAAAGAGAUUCAGAAUCUUAUUGCAUCUGAUCGGCACCCAAAUAUUGUUCGGUGGUAUGGAGUAGAACAAGAGUUGGAUUUUGUGUAUAUCUCACAGGAGCGUUGUAUUUGCAGCCUAAGUGACUUAAUAUGCAUAUGCUCAGAUUCUUCUUCACAUUCAGUAUCUGUGGAAAAUCAAACAUCAAACUCUGUGGUUGAAGAUAAAGUUCAAUUAAGCUUGGUGAAAGGUAUCAGAAAGGAUGUUAAAACUUGUGGAGAUCAAAUGGGCUUCCUUCAAGCCAACUCUUAAAGAUAAUGAGGUGCGGGUUUGUCCUUUCCCUUGUAUGUCUCUUCACUGUAGAUUUUGUGUUGCUCUGUUACUUCUUUGUCUCCUUGUAUAUAUAUUUGAGUCAAUAUUUUUUUAUAAACAGCUUAUAGGUCAUCUUUUAUCUUACUUGUUGGCAUUGGGUGUUUACUGAACAGUGAAGAAUUACCAUUUAACAGCCAUUGUUUCCUUAAGAAUAUAAGACAAUGACAAUUUAAGUCUCAUUUGAUUGAAUUUAGCAAUUUGGUUUUUUCUUAGAAGUAGCUUCUUGAUUGCAAUAUUAUUUUCUUUCACAAAAGAAAACUUCAAAAUACAUCAGAACCAGUUCUGCUCUGUACAACAGAUGAUGGCGAAGUUGGGAAGAAGUUAUAUGCAUAUUCAUUAGUAACACAGUUUCUUAAGCACAAGAAAACUUUGUACAACAGAGGAUGACAUAUGUUUCUAUAUAAAAUCAAGAGUGACAUAGUUUCUUAAACAGAAUAAAAACCUAAAGUUUAUAGUAUUGACUGGAAAACAGCAGAUGUCAAAUUAGCAAAAAAGUUACAGUUAAUACAAUAAUUAGAGUGAAAAGCCUCAUCUAAGUAAUCCAAUUUGUUGUUGUUGUUGUUGUUGUUGUUGUUGUUGUUGUUGUGUAUCAUAGGGGCCUUUGACAUGUCUAACUUUAAGGCAAUAGCAUUUGCUUCUUUUCCUCAAGUUGCUUGUGUUGUCUAUUUAUUUUGGAAAUUGGCUAUGCUAAUUUGCAAAUUUUGGUAGCUAUUGAUCUUUUGUGAUACUGUGGAUCUGUUGUUUUUAAAACUUUAAUCGUGUUUGUUUUACAGAGAUGUAGUUUCUGGCCUUGCACAUCUACAUGAAGUUGGAAUCAUACACCGGGAUCUAAAGCCUCAAAAUGUGCUAAUAAGCAAUGACAGACAUCUUAAUGCCAAGCUUUCUGAUAUGGGUAUAAGCAAAUGCCUACUUGAAGACAUGUCUUCAUUGAGCCGUAAUGCUACUGGUUAGUGCACAAUGAGAACUUUAUAUCUCUGGUAUCUGACAAGUGUGCUUAUUCUUUUAUUAUCCUUAGAAAUGGACCAAGUUCAAGCAUGUUUUAAUUUACCAUAGGAUAUGGUACCUCUGGUUGGCAAGCACCUGAACAACUUCUUCAUGGGCGUCAAACACGAUCUAUGGAUUUGUUCAGUUUGGGUUGCAUACUAUUCUUUUGUAUUACCAAAGGAAAACAUCCAUUUGGCAAUCAUUUUGAAAGGGAUGCAAACAUUAUUCACAAUCGCAUGGACCUCUUCUUGGUGGAUCAUAUACCAGAAGCUGAACAUUUACUUUGUCAACUGUUACAGCCUGACCCAAAGAUGAGGCAAGCAGACCUUUUUUCACAAUUUCCAUGGUUACAUUGCAGUCAUUCCCUCUGCUCAUUUUUUCUGAUUUGCUAAGUACAUGCUUCUUGUGUAUCAUCAGGCUGAAUGCGGUAGAAGUAUUGUGUCACUCUCUUUUUUGGAGUUCUGAGACACGACUUUCAUUUUUACAAGAUGUAAGCGAUCGUGUUGAAUUAGAAGACAGAGAAAAUGAAUCGGAGCUGCUAAAAUCGUUAGAAAAUAGUGCGCCAAAUGCAUUUGGUGGGAAAUGGGAUGAUAAGUUAGAUGUUGCAUUCAUUACAGACAUGGGUCAUUACAGAAAAUAUCAUUUUGAUUCCAUACGUGACCUUCUACGAGUAAUAAGAAAUAAGUUGAAUCAUUACUGGGAACUUCCAAAAGAACUCCAGGUAGCCUCUUCCAUCCUUUUAUUUGAGUAUUUUCAUCUUAAAUUCUUGAGAUCAAUUUGCUCUGUGUGUGUAACUUGGUUCAAGUAAUUUCUUUGUGUGGUUUUCUUAUGUAGAUAUUUGUUGUUAUAUUAUCGCUUUGUUGAACCAAUCAAUUAGAAAGUGUGCUUCUUGCUUCACAAUGUGUUGCGAGUUUAGGUACCACAAUAUGUAUGCUGAACAUAUUAUUUGGUUUCCAAUACUUUUCCAUUUUGUCUGAUCAUCAUUUUUUUCAGGAGCAUUUUUCACUUCGGCUUCAACUGUAUGAAAAAGAACUUGAAUUGGAUAUACUUGUUGGGUUUGUUUACUUUUACCCUUUUUUUUUGGCCUGGAUCUCAGAUAAAAUAUUGCUCAUCAUCCCAUUAUUCUCUUUACUUGGUAUACCAAAUUUAAUGGUGUCAUACUGAUCCACUUGUUAAUGCUGAUUAACUAGUUGAGGGUGUUUCAUGUGUUGUGUGCUUUGUGAAUUGAGUCUCAUAUAUAAAGCAGUACUUGCAAGGGUAUUUGUUCUUUAUGCUGAAGUAUUUCCAACGGCUGCAGGAAACUCUUGGACCUGUUCCUCAAGGAUUUGAUAUGUACUUUGCAAGUCGAUUCCCAAAGCUCCUAAUUGAAGUCUACAAAGUGGUUUACCGAUUCUGUAAGGAAGAGGAUUACCUUAGCAAGUAUUUCCAAUGCAGCAGCCUUCUGUAGAUUCAGAUCUUCUGUUCCAAAGACUUGAACCAAUAUGAGAAGUGCUUGUUUUGUUCUCUCUAUCUCUCUCUCUCUUCAUUUGGCGAAGGUAGGACUUCUUUUGCUUCUACUAGUAUCGAUUUUAGUUCUAAUCCAUGAUCGGUAGAUGUUUCUUCUCAUCUCUGUAUUGGAUGAUCUUUGAGUGUAGUUCGAUGAAUUGAAUGAGGCAUCCUUCCUCUUUCAUUAGGAUGCUUGUCUUCUUAGUUCUUGUAUUAGCGUAGAGUAGAUCGGUGCGUUCUUUGUGUAGAUGGAUUCUCUCUGCUUUUGUUUCAUUUUUUAUCGGAAGAGAAAUGCUGAUCAUGAGGUUGGCAACCUUCAAGCGGAUUUUUGGUUAUCUUCUCAAAGUUUUAUGGCAAAUAUGCUUCCCGGUGAUGAUCGGGUCUCGCUGUUUCGGGUUUUCCUCUUAUGCGUAGUGCAGUAAUGUUGUUGACGUCACUCCGGUUUGUCUCUAUUCAACAGACCAUGUCAGACACAAGUCGAUGCAGCGAGCGCCGGUUUCUCCCACCAUUGGCAACAGCCGCGGCUGUUCGAUCGCAUCAUCACCGGAUAAGGCAUAUUUUGGACCUCGAUCACGACUCAGAUCCACCGUUAGCGUAAGUGCAAACAUGAAACCGCAGGACAUGAAUCGAGCAUCACGUCGAAUACACCCCUACAGAUUCAGCACAAAGGCCACCUCCCUCCCACGUCGAUCGAAGCCCGUGCAAGGAGGCGUCUUCUCGACAAGUCUUGUUCCGGAAAGUUCAGGACGAUGUUGCAUGGCGUCGUUUCGCACAUACCAAUCAGCGACCAUACGAAGAUACGAACUCACUGCUCAGGGAGUCGAUCGCUACGUCAAACCCACGUACGAUCGACUCUCGGGCACUAUUAUAAAAGCCGUUGACCAGCAUCUGGCUAGAGGAUCCGAGAAAAAAGCCAAAAACCACUGACUUAAACUCCGAGAGGCCUAAGUCGGGAAUCCCCUAAUCCAGGCCUAUGUGUAGGGACACGACCACUCCCAGGCCAGCUCAAAUCCUCGGUGGAGGCGCGUUCAACCCAACUUCUGAUCCAGCCCAACCUCGGGACCCACCCGAUCGAUUGAGAGACACACUCUCAUUGAUAUGAUCUUAUAAAUAAUUAAUAUUUGUACAAUAUAAUGAUAUAAUCUUAUAAAUAAUUAAUAUUCUUAGUCAUAUUUUUCAAAGCCGUUAAUAGAUUACAUUAAAAUAGUUUAGGUGCAUUUACUUAACUAUCCAUAAGAUUUACCUGUCUAAGUUUUGUGCUUAAUUUACAGAAUGGCCAUAUUUUCUUACUGUAGGAGCACAAACAUCAACGUUGUCGACUGAUCAUAUCAUAUACUACAAUACAAAAAUUUUUUUUUUUUAUUUUUGGGGGGUCGACAAGUAGAAUACAUAUUUUAAUGCUGUCCGUCCGAUCAGAAUCAUCUGAUGGGUGACGUGUCCAUAUUUGCUCUGCCAAGCUUGGCAAGUGAUGCAAAUAAUUGAAAGUUCCGUGAAUAAUGGGCCUUUGGCAGUAUCGUUAGUCCAUAGCCUAAUCGUAGGACCUGAUUUGAUAGCACAGUUAUGGGCCAAGCCCAACUAUACGUCACGAAUACGAAAGCCAUCAAACAAUCGUACGGUGUCGCAUAUGCUUUCCGUAGUGGCCCGCGCAAGCAAGAGGCUGCAAGGCGAAAAGGAAAGGGAGAUGAUCGGGUCUGUGGAAGCUCUUGGUAUGGGGCUGGGUUGGAAAACCCUACCGCCCCGCCAUGUUUGUCUUACAUGGAGUGAGGUCUUUUCCAAUGCCUCCAAUGCCGAUGGUUUCCAGGCACCCCUCCCUUUCCCUCUCUGAGUCUUUUGAGGAUUGGUGUGACAUGCGAUGGUGAAGAAGGCGCCGGGAGGAGGGAGAGGAAGCGCAGGGAUUCCUACAAGCUGUGGGGAUGGGGGCAUCGCCGUGCCCAUACCAGCUCUGGCUGAGAGAUGCAGGUUGAUGGUGCUUGCCGAUCCCUCCCAUGCCUAUGGUUUUUAGUAGCUCGUUCCUCUCCCUUGCCCCUCUUGUAAUGCUCUUACGUUAUGGAUGCGGCUUACAGUAAGAACAGGUGUUCUUAUUUCAGCCGCCUCCUCCACCAACCAUUCUGUCCGCUGCCGGAGAGCUCCGACAAACAACCCAGCCGUUUCAGAACAUCCCCCCUCUGCACCUUUUGUCGUCGGCUGCAACAGAAUGGCACCGCUCCACGCAUCCGUCGCCCUCCUCCCUUUACACCUCCUCCCCCGGUGGUGCCGUGUUAUCCCUCCAUGGUUUGGCUCCUCAUGAAACCUCCACCAGCUGCAAAAUACCAUCUCCACCAACCAUUCUUUCCGCAGCCUGAAAGCUCCGACAAAGCACCCAGCCGUUUCAGAAGGGCAACUCCUUGUUUCCUUGCCCCAUUCUACCGUUUUGACCUAGUGGGGUUCGCCUUAUCUUGAUCCAUCCCCGGCCAAUUUAGUCGCUCCCCAAAACCAACCCCCACUCCCCCUCCUCUCCCUCCAUUCGAUGCUCCCAUCCGAGCGCUCCGUCGCUUUCUUCGCCUUGCUCCUGCUAGGGUUACUCGUCUCCGGCGUGUUGACGCCCGUGGUGCUUGAUCCGUCGGCGGAGAGCGAAUCUUGGGGGACCGCAGCUGCCGCCGCUGCAUCUGCUUCCCCUCUUCCUUCUCCUCCUACUCCUUGGCUUUCAAUUCCUGCUCCGCCUACUAGCGAGAUCUUCCAGGAAGAAAAAUGGACCGACCGGCCAUUGUCGGGGGAUUUGGUACCGGUCGAGGAGUCUCCUCCUUUUGUCCCGGAUCCCAAAUCGGCGUUGCUAUUGAGUUCGGCUGAAAGGUAAGCACUUGGAUUUUGGAUUGGUUCAAGUAAGAGCAGGGUUUUCUGCUAUCGCUCGUAUGUUUUUGAUUGGUUGUGUUUGUUAAAGAUCUAACUUUUUAAAGUUCAAGACACGAAUUUGAAGAUAGUUGUCGUGAAAUUUGACUCUCUCCUUUCGAAAUUCGACAUUACUUGCAGCUUAGUAGAGGCUAGCUGCUGUAACAAUGACAAUUUGCUAGCUGUGAUAGGCGUUCUUUUAAGCAUGUCGACUUGUGCGAAUAUGUGUUUCAAAGUAGCAGCAGCUUGAUUAUGGUAAUUCCUGAAAUUCUCAUGUGGCUCGAUGAAACAUUUUGCACCCACUAAGAACCAUUGGCUUUCUGAUAUUUUCUAUAUUAGCUUAUGGAAACAGUUGUUAGAUGAAUGCAUAGGUAUACCUUCAAGUGGGUGAAACUAAUACUAGGUGUUUUCAAGUUUUGUUAGUGCAAGUAAUUUUGGAUCUAUGAGCAAGCUUAUGAAUGCGAAUCAGCCAGUAAGUGUUCCUUAGGAAUUGUCACAAAUUCCGUUAUGGACCAUGACCAGAUAGUGGAGAGACUAAACGAUGAACAUAUUUCUUUAGUUGGAUCACGAGGCUUGCCUACUUCCCCAAAUGGAUCUCCACUGGGAAAUUGCAUUUUUGAUAGGCCAAAAUUUCCUACAGCAUAUUCUAGUUUUGUAAACUCAAGACAGAGACCCAGAGGUCCAAUCAACUGGCUUUAUCACGAACAAGAGAGUUCUAAUACAUCAUGGAACUCAUUGGAUGAUUCAAAUACUUAUUCAAUCGACGGACAUUCUCAUGUUCAGCAAGGCCGUGGCUUGUCAACACAAUCUAUUUAUGGUCAUGGUUGGCUAUUUAUUCUCUCUGUGCCUAUAUUUGCAUUUUGCUAUUUUGGGUUGAGAAAGCUGUUCAAGAAUGAUAAAAAAUAUAAUGAUUUGAAGGAAAAGCAAUCUGUCGUUCCUAAGAAGAGAAAAUCUCGGAAGUCUGGAAAGUUGAAAAAUGCUACCAUCAGUGUUAGUCAUGACAGACAUACUUUAUCCAUGAAAGAGAAUGCUGAAACCAAUGGGCAUAAUCAAAUUCAGGUCAAUGGAAGUUAUUCAUUUAUACCUGAUGGUGAUAGUGAUGGGCGUUGGGUUGGAAGACUUUUUGUUACAAAUAUUGAAAUCGGUCACGGGAGCAAUGGUACAGUCGUCUUUGAAGGAUUUUAUGGUGGUCGUCCAGUUGCUGUAAAACGGCUUCUUCGUGCACAUCAUGAU
This 7216-nucleotide long non-coding RNA is filed under the name Musa acuminata (dwarf banana). Its description in RNAcentral is "long non-coding RNA (MACU_LNC001614)". The record is from RNAcentral. Lineage: Eukaryota; Viridiplantae; Streptophyta; Magnoliopsida; Zingiberales; Musaceae.